UACGUAGGGGGCAAGCGUUAUCCGGAAUGAUUGGGCGUAAAGGGUCCGCAGGUGGCAAUGUAAGUCUGCUGUCAAAGAAUGAGGCUUAACCUCAUCAAGGCAGUGGAAACUACAUAGCUAGAGUACGGUCGGGGUAGAAGGAAUUCUUGGUGCAGCGGUGAAAUGCGUAGAGAUCAGGAAGAACACCGGUGGCGAAAGCGUUCUGCUAGACCUGUACUGACACUGAGGGACGAAAGCUAGGGGAGCGAAUGGG
Molecule: ribosomal RNA, 253 nt
Filed under: uncultured bacterium
Lineage: Bacteria
Description: partial 16S ribosomal RNA
Rfam family: Bacterial small subunit ribosomal RNA
Source: RNAcentral